GAAUUUCAACACAUGGUCGAAAACGGUUUAUUAUGAGAAGUCAGCAGAGGUCAUAGUACUAAAUAUAGUUAACGAUAUUUGGGAAGGAC
This is a non-coding RNA of Methanosarcina sp. Ant1, 89 nucleotides long. Lineage: Archaea; Methanobacteriati; Methanobacteriota; Methanomicrobia; Methanosarcinales; Methanosarcinaceae. The record is from Rfam.